Molecule: ribosomal RNA, 451 nt
Filed under: uncultured bacterium
Lineage: Bacteria
Description: partial 16S ribosomal RNA
Rfam family: Bacterial small subunit ribosomal RNA
Source: RNAcentral
AGGGAAUCUUCCACAAUGGACGCAAGUCUGAUGGAGCAACGCCGCGUGAGUGAAGAAGGCUUUCGGGUCGUAAAACUCUGUUAUUGAAGAAGAACGUGUGUGACAGUAACUGGUCAUGCAGUGACGGUAUUCAAUCAGAAAGUCACGGCUAACUACGUGCCAGCAGCCGCGGUAAUACGUAGGUGGCAAGCGUUGUCCGGAUUUAUUGGGCGUAAAGCGAGUGCAGGCGGUCUUUUAAGUCUGAUGUGAAAGCCUUCGGCUUAACCGAAGAAGGGCAUCGGAAACUGGGAGACUUGAGUACAGAAGAGGAGAGUGGAACUCCAUGUGUAGCGGUGAAAUGCGUAGAUAUAUGGAAGAACACCAGUGGCGAAGGCGGCUCUCUGGUCUGUAACUGACGCUGAGGCUCGAAAGCGUGGGUAGCAAACAGGAUUAGAUACCCUGGUAGUCCACG